AAAGUCGUAACAAGGUUUCCGUAGGUGAACCUGCGGAAGGAUCAUUACCGAAUGAACUGCACCAUCCUGUAGCAGAACCAUUGGCAAUCCCCAUGGCCGGAUGAUCAGUCUGACAGAGGUUGGCCUAUUCCGAAUGGCUAUAGGUUGCUGCAGGGGAGCUGCGCAACCCUAACACCAAGUGGUUUGGUGGCGCCAUUUUGGCCAUGCUGGAUGUUGGAUGUGUACGGCCCUCUGGGUCCUUUGGUCUGCUACGCUUAUCAAACCCGUCAUUGUAUGUAUGGUGGGGUGGCAUCCCACCUUUUGUUGGGUUGCCCCUCAAUUAUGUAAAGAUGAAUAUAACUUUCAACAACGGAUCUCUUGGCUCUC
Molecule: unclassified non-coding RNA, 366 nt
Filed under: Basidiomycota sp.
Lineage: Eukaryota; Fungi; Basidiomycota
Description: partial contains small subunit ribosomal RNA, internal transcribed spacer 1, and 5.8S ribosomal RNA
Rfam family: Eukaryotic small subunit ribosomal RNA (bases 1-47)
Source: RNAcentral